RNAcentral lists this long non-coding RNA (206 nucleotides) under Gossypium barbadense (sea-island cotton). RNAcentral describes it as "long non-coding RNA (GBAR_LNC007939)". Lineage: Eukaryota; Viridiplantae; Streptophyta; Magnoliopsida; Malvales; Malvaceae. The record is from RNAcentral.
GUGUACAGUGUGCGUAAGAUUACAGGGAUGAAAUCAACGGCUUUUUAUAGCCAGAUUUUUAGAAUAAAAAAUAAAAAUAAAAAUUACAUUUAUUUGAUGUAUUCUGUUAGUAGUUCUUCUGGUGUAUUCCUGUGCAGACUCGGCCAUACGGAGGAGACGUGCAAAGGAGGCCGUGCGAGGAGCCACUCAUGGGAGCCCCAACUCUC